Molecule: long non-coding RNA, 7159 nt
Filed under: Gallus gallus (chicken)
Lineage: Eukaryota; Metazoa; Chordata; Aves; Galliformes; Phasianidae
Description: lncRNA (ENSGALG00010003744.1)
Source: RNAcentral
CCCUUCCCUUCCCUUCCCUUCCCUUCCCUUCCCUUCCCUUCCCUUCCCUUCCCUUCCCUUCCCUUCCCUUCCCUCUUUCUUUUCAUUCGACUGUCUCACAGCCAAUACAGAGUAACCUCUUCUAGACUGGGAGGGAGUUCAGGAACAGCUAUAAAAUAAUUGGUGUUUUAUAUUCAACAAUAAUCUUGAAUAAUUUUAAAAAUUGUUUUUCAAAUAGGCGAAUCUGGUGGGAAGCAUCAUUUUAUAAAUGACUAAAUUGAAGUCACAGUAGAACAAGCUUGUGUGGUUGGACAUAUUCAAAAUAAUUCAGCUUAAAAACAGUGAGUUUAAUUUAUACACAAACCAUUCAGGAAAACAGCACAAUUCACAGAUAGCUUUCCAAGUUUACAGAAGGUUUCAUCUGAAAACCUUGGAUGAAUGCUGUUUAAACCACACAGCUGUACUGACCAAAUCCACCUCAUUUCCACAAUAUGCACAGACAAGAACAGCCUUCCUUCUGCAUUGUUUUGCUUUCAGUUCAUUGGAUUGCUCAUCUCAUUACAGUGAUGAGCAUCACAGCUGAGCAGUGAGCAAACCCUUUGUCUUAGACUGGGUUUUUCUUUUUGUUUUGGUGCGGUUUACCUCUAAGUAAGUUGGAAGUGUUACCACAGGAAGGUGAGGGGAAGAAUAUUUUUGGUAUUAGGACAGCUUGGCAUUCAUUUUCCAUGUGGAAUAAAGGUAUAUGUUUUGCUACAGAGCAGUCACCGUAGAUCUUAAUGUCCUUAAUGUUUUCUUCUCUAUUAGAAAAGCAAAGAUCAAGAAGGAAAAUGAUAUGUUAAGGAACACGAUGGCAGCAACAGCUUCUCAGUAGGAAUGCAAUGGGCACAUUAGCUUUGCUUCCCACACAGGUGAGAUCCAAGGUAAACACGAAGUGAUUGUGUGUGCAGAUUUCCUGGAGUCUUUGAAAUGAGUGCGUUUCAGAGCAGGGUUUCCAGAUGCUGCAAUUAAAUCUUGAAAGGUUCUCUAAAACAUUGAUGAAUCUUUACAAGGGAAUGCAAAUCAGCACAGCUAAGUGGGAAAGUGGAACUUUUUUUUUUUGUGUGCUCUCAGCACUUUGCUGUGCUUGUUUCUAAUACAUAAGAGCAACGUUCAUGCUGAUCGUGUGAUAUUAUUUCACUGUCACUUCUUAAUACCCGAUUAAGCUCAAACAUUUGGCUAUUCUUGACCACACAAACUCAUGCUGCAGUGGAGGGAGUUAUUAAAAUGAAGCCCUCAUUGUGUUACAUAGGACAGUUUAACCACUGCUUCUAGAAAGUUAUCAAAAGGACACGUCUUGCAGUAAGCUUGAAAAUACUCCAAGUACUGAAGGACAAGGAGGCAGCGCUGUGUUCAGUAGACACCUUUCUGGCUCUAUCUUGGAUUUGUUUGCAGACUUAAUGGGAUAAAUUAUGCCCAUCUUCCAUCGUGGAUGAAGAGUUCCUGGUGCAUCCCCGCGUUCUUCACAGUGUGUCGUUUCAUUGCUGUCUUCACACGAGAUCAGGACAAGAAAUGGGAGCAGAGGAUCCCUUUUUAUGGGAUGUGUGACUUUUUCCAUAGUGCACUCCAGCAGAGCUGCUUUGAUCCUGCCUACCAGAAAGAUGACCCGCAGAUCUUAAAAGCUGUUUGCUCAGUUUAAGGUCAUUACCUCUUGUCCCGUGACUACACUCCCUGAUAAAGAGUCCUUCAGCUUCCUCAGCCUUUUUUGAGCAGUAUAGAACAUGGGCAACCAGAGGCUGUCUCAUAUUCGGGACCACCAGGUAUGAUGACCACACUGAUGGGAUAUUUCUGGGGCAAAGACAACCUACCCAACUGGAAACACACGUAUAUCGAGAGUGGCUGCUCUUGUCAAAAACUACAGUGGACUGAUUUCACUUUCCAGUGGUGGAUGGAGCAUCUCAAACCUUAGACAGAAUCCCAUCCCCUCAUCCUCCCUGCACAAAACCCCAUCUCCCCAUGGGAAGCAUGCAGGACAGAUUUCUGCUCUUUGCUGAUGUCUUUGUCCGGGCAGCUCCUCAUAGCAGCCUGCAGCUUCCUCAUGGCAGCCUAUAAGCGAUAGCCUGAGCCCUUUCAUUUCUUGUUAGCAAGCCAUAUUAGUCCCUAAAACAACUCCCCUCCACUUGCUCACCUUGAACUACAAGAACUCAUUUCUCGUUCAUCCACACAGCAUCAUAAACAGAGCCGCAGUGGCAUGAGGGGACAGCAGCAUGGGGGAAAAUGGCUCUCUUUAAUGAGAUGCAUCCCUGUCUUGCCACCCCUCCAUGUGCCCCACUGCCUCCCUCACCCUCUGCUAGGUCUGGAUCAGAAGCAGAGCACGUCUCUCCAUUCCUUUCCAAGAGACGGACCCCUGCAGAGGCGAGGAGAUUAACACCGCUGGGCUGUGCCAAACGGCAGGCUGAUUCCUCAAUGUGGGUCAUGUCCCAUGGGACCGGAGCCAAAAGCAAACCAGUCUGUCAUUGCAGAGUAUUUAUAGGAGGGCUGAACCUACCCCGCAGCCCCUGCACGGCUUCCCCACCCUUCUCAUCCGCUUGCUGAAUGCUUAAAUUUGAAACAGUUGUUGCAUGUUGUUUUAUGGCUGCUGGGGUAUGGCUGGCUGUCUCCCUUAUCGGUGUAAAACGGGGAGCUGUCAAGUGGGAGGGAACGCAUGAGUGGUUUGGUUGAAGUUUUUCAUUUCUUCUGUGCUUCUGAUUCCCCCCAAGCUGGCUUGGUUUGCAAGUGGAGACACCAGGAAUGGGUUGUAGUGGGAUGCUCUCGGCGUUGAUCCAGGGAGGACUUUCUGGUCCGAUGAGCCUGGACAUUGAAGUCCUCUGACAGAGAGCCAGAGAUACUUCAGGAGAAGAGAGGGCUUAUCUGGAGAAGAGGAGGCUCAGGGGAGACCUUAUCACUCUCUACACUACAGCUACCUGAAAGAAGGUUGUGGUGAGGUGAGGGUCAGCCUCUUCUCCCAUGGAACUAGCGAUAGGAUGAGGGGAAAUGGCCUCCAGUUGCACCAGGGGAGGUUCAGUUUGGGAGUUAGGAAACAUUUCUUCUCCAAAAGAGUGGUCAGGCACUGGAAUGGGCUGCCCAAGGAGGUGGUUGAGUCACCGUCCCUGAAGGUGUUCAAGAAACAUCUAGAUGUUGUACUGAGAGACAUGGUUUAGUGGGGAAAUAAUGGCGGUAUGUUGAACUCGAUGGUCUUGGAGGUCUUUUCCAACUUUGGUGAUUCUAUGAUUCAACUUUGCUCUGAGGUGCUCUGUCAGCAGAGCCUUCCUGCCUGUCCUCCAAUGAGUUUGGAGAGAGAGAAGUAUUUACACACUUCUGGAGAAGAAAACUGGAGAGAGAAGUCCGAUGGGGAUAGUGAGGUGGAGACAGACCGAAGAAGUUUUGAGCACAGUCAGGUUUGGCUUUAGAAGGCAAAAGACCCCAGUUCAACAUUCUCCAUUCUGCAUCCAAAGAGGAAAGGAAAACCAUCUUCAUGUGCAGGAGAACAUGAACGCCACAUCACUGGAUUGGAAUAAAUACCAACAUAAACUCUGUGGUGAUCUCAAACCUCACAUGGUCCCUUUUCUCUCUUAUUCCACCAACUCACCAUAAAUGCUGUGUUUUAUUAAGGUCGUAGCUUCACCUGGGGAGGAAGUAUCUAGGGUUUGAAACCCACUAAGAGAUGUAGAGGAUCAGUGUUGGUGAGUUUAUCCCUGUCUGCAGAGAGGAUGAAAUGUCUAAACUGAGACAGGUAAGAACUGGAAUCUGAUGGAAGACAGGGAAGAGAGGAGAACAAGAAAACUGGAAAAAGGAGAGAACUUCUAACCUACAAUCACACUGUCCGUGCUGGUUGAAAUCCAGGUAUAAACACACCCGUUUCCUUAUGUUUUACUUUUCAGAACAUGUCUUGAAGACAGAAACAGGGGUUAGAAGAGCAGAUUUUACUCCUGUGAUUAAGAUGUGCACCAUUUGACUUUGGGUUGUAAAGAAAAAGAAGAAAAAAUAAAACAAGGGAAAAAAAAAAGAGUAAUGCUUUACUAAUUAAGGCACAAUUGAAAGUGAUUGGUGUGCACUGGCAAGCUGCUCCUCUCAGAAAGAGCUGGACUGACAUCUCUACAAUCACUCAGUGAGUAAGCACUGCGAAAACACUGUUUGGCCUGGAAGGAGCUAAUAAGUGCAUAGAUAAAAUCUUAUUUUGAAAGCAACAACAAAGGGCAUGUGAUUUAUAUCUUAGUUGGUGACUUCAUAUGUUUUGCAGAGUUUCUCCAAAAUAUAUCGGAAUUCAUAAUUCAUUUUUAUAACGCAUUACAUUAAAAUAAUAAAUGUCAGGAAGUUUUUCAAGAGACUGAAAAUUCUGUAAGCAGUGCUGAGUGAUCAAAGGAGGAUUUUGACAGGGAGAGACUCCCGUUGACUUGGGGCUUUGGAUCAGACCUGACGCUGGCAACAAAAUGGACAACAGUUAAUAAAAGUGUGCCUGUUAGAACUUGGAUAAGUUGGAGCAGCUAAUUGCAGCAUCUCAACACAAGUUGGGGGAAGAUGCAUGCUGGCUGGAUCCUCACCGCUGCACGUGAUGGGAUGCUGUUGCUCGUCUACAUGGCAACAACCACGGAUGAGCCAAGACAAAGGAAGUGAUAGAGGAGGUGGAGGAGAGAGCAGGGAUUAGAGGGCUGGAGGAAAAACAACUUUCAGGGGGAGAAACCAUUCCAAAACCUACAUUUAUGCAAGGAAAAGGACUGCUGAGUUAAAAGUAGUAUAUCAUUUCUGGACUUUUUCAUUUCCUACAUGUUGGAGGAGUUAUCUCUGUGUGUUUCCAUUCUUUUUCUUAAUGGAGGCAUAUAUGACGUGUUUCUCACUCAUUGUAGUAUUUCAUGUUUUCAUGAGUGUUAACAAAAGCAUGGGACAAAGCCAAAGAGGUAACUACCCACCAUACCCUAGUGCAGCUGUUUCACGUUUAUAAAACUCAUGUAUCACCAUGCAGAAUUGGUCAGUGUUUUGCCUGUCUGUACCUGCAGGGAUGUAUUUUGCUGCAAAAUGCCAUUCAGGUUUGUGGACCACAAAAUGGAGAUGGAGAUCCCACAACUUCAGUUGUAGAGCAACCAGAACUCAUUCUCUCCUCACACAUCUAGAGCUCCACUCCCAGCCAUCCUAGUGGCCUUGCUGGGCUUUUUUCUAACCAUGCUGGUGGCCUUGCUGGGUGUUUUCCUAGCUCCUGGUACUAGGGAGCUCAAGUCCAGUGCCCAGAUGUGAUCUCAGGGUCUGAGUAGAGGGGAAGAAUUAUAUCCCCUAGCUUGCUAGCUGCCCCUUUGCAAAUUCACCUCUGGAUGUGAUCAUCCUGUGCUGCAAGUGUGGAGACAUAGUAGUGAGGACCUCAUAGUCUACCAAGAUGCCCCUGGUCUAUCCAGAUGGUCCCAGCUUGUGCUGCCACAUGGGUUAUUCCUCCUCAUAUACUGAACUCUACAUUUCUCUGCGGUGAACUUCUUGAGAUUCCUGCUAAUCCUUCUCUCCACCUCAUUUCUUCGAAUAGCAUUGCUCCUCUGCACUGCAUCAAUCACUCCUUGUUUGUGUGUCCUCUGCAGACUUGCUGAGAGGGCAGCCUGUUCACUGCCUAAGGGCUGCUUGAGCUGCCAGGUAGCUCCACAAUGACAUCCUUUGGAAAUGUGCACCACCUCCGACUUGAUCAGCUGGGCUGUACAACCUUAAUGGUAUAGAAGAUUCCAUGCAGUUUCAAGUCGUCAUCCAACUUUUAGAUGCAAGAUCUAAAGGCCCAUGUGGUACUUUAAUAUCUUGAUGAUUUACAGCUGGGAUUGAGACUUUGUCCAAACUUUCACUCCAUUUGUAUAAACCUUUCAUGCUGAUUGAGAACUCUGCAAAUGAAGUCUCUGACUUUUAUUUACACUUUAUGAAAAUUGAGUUGUUCUCAAGUGACCCUACAUCUCACCUCAGAGUGGUGAAAAUUCACAGCCACGGAGCGUGGAUUCAUGCAGACUGAGGGCUCAGUUUGUAGAUCUGAAUCUACAGAUAUUCAAAGAGAUUUUUCCCAGGGGAAAACAGUCAAAUGUGGAUGAUAAAAGUGAGUGAGUAAUGUACUGAGAGCAUAUCUUCUUACUGCAUUUGCUCGGAGUGUCUGUUUAUGAUGAAUGUAAAGCAGACCCAACAGCAGAGUUCAGUUAGGGGUGUGCGUUUAUGUGCUGGGAUUUUAUGUCUAACAUGGCCUGUUAGGCUUUUUGAAAAGGAAAAACAUAAAACCUUGCCUGUUUUCUUAAAAAAAUGCAUUACUGUACUGCUCUUCGUGUUUUAAAGUACUGAUAAAAAAAAAGAAAGAAAGAAAGAAAGAAGUUGUUUAUAUUAUUUGUAUUACCUUAAGCCCCAGGAAGAACAGACACAACUCCAUUUGCAAGCAAAUAUAGCUUGUGUUGGAUUGAAUAGCCCAAGAAGGUGUCAUUAUUCGUUUCUCAGAAUGCAUCAGCUUAACGUCUUGCUGAGGUUCACAUACAAACCCUACAGCAAAGCUGGACCUGCGAGCAGAACAGCUCCUGCCAAGAAAACAAAGACCGUAUCAGCUGGAUGGUAGGUGCCUGUGAUGUGUGAGGGAUAAGCAGAGAGCUGUGGAAAGAUUUCUGAGAAGGAACCACAUCAGUGUGCUGGGCCAGCGCUCCCUUGGUGCCUGAAACCUCCAGCUGCUGAUGUUCUGGAGUGAGAAAAUGGGCAGAGAGAUUAUUUUUGAAUUUUUGAGGGCUGGUUUUGCAUCUUGGCCCAUCUUUUUCUGGAAACGGUUAGUAGUUGUAACUGACUCCCAGAUGUGUGGCUAAAAUAAUUUGCUUUUAUUAAUAUUCAGAUAUGAGAAUCCAGAAAUAAAGUGGGGAAAGAUGUUAAGGGCAGACUAUUGCAAGUUUUCUUGCCUUUUGCCUUGAAAAUGCUUGUGCAGGCCCUAGCUGGAGGCAGGUUCCAGGAUGUAGAAUCACAGAGUCAUUAAGAUUGCAAAAGACAUCUAAGAUCACCAGCUGCAACUGCUGACCCAUCCCCACCAUGCUCACUAAACCAACCCCUCAGAACAUCUCCAUGGUUGAGCCCUUCCUGGGAUGGCGACUCCACCACUUCCCUGAGCUGCCUGUUCCAAUGCAUUGCCAUCAAUGCCAUUUUGAGUUGGGAUGGUGCUUCUUAACUUUGCCUGGGCUCAAGCCUG